GAUGAACGCUGGCGGCGUGCCUAAUACAUGCAAGUCGAGCGAACAGACGAGGAGCUUGCUCCUCUGACGUUAGCGGCGGACGGGCGAGUAACACGUGGAUAACCUACCUAUAAGACUGGGAUAACUUCGGGAAACCGGCGCUAAUACCGGAUAAUAUAUUGAGCCGCAUGGUUCAAUAGUGAAAGACGGUUUUGCUGUCCCUUAUAGAUGGAUCCGCGCCGCAUUAGCUAGUUGGUAAGGUAACGGCUUACCAAGGCAACGAUGCGUAGCCGACCUGAGAGGGUGAUCGGCCACACUGGAACUGAGACAAGGUCCAGACUCCUACGGGAGGCAGCAGUAGGGAAUCUUCCGCAAUGGGCGAAAGCCUGACGGAGCACCGCCGCGUGAGUGAUGAAGGUCUUCGGAUCGUAAAACUCUGUUAUUAGGGAAGAACAAAUGUGUAAGUAACUAUGCACGUCUUGACGGUACCUAAUCAGAAAGCCACGGCUAACUACGUG
RNAcentral lists this ribosomal RNA (497 nucleotides) under uncultured bacterium. RNAcentral describes it as "partial 16S ribosomal RNA". It matches the Rfam family "Bacterial small subunit ribosomal RNA", at positions 28 to 507 of the family's 1533-position model. The record is from RNAcentral.